This is a non-coding RNA of Podarcis lilfordi (Lilford's wall lizard), 77 nucleotides long. The record is from the annotation of a GenBank genome assembly. NCBI's taxonomy places the organism in Eukaryota, Metazoa, Chordata, Lepidosauria, Squamata, Lacertidae.
GCCCAACACGGUAGCUCAGUCGGUGGAGCAGGAGAUUCUUAAUCUCAGGGUCGAGGGUUCGAGCCCCAUGUUGGGCA